Molecule: long non-coding RNA, 350 nt
Organism: Neofelis nebulosa (Clouded leopard)
Lineage: Eukaryota; Metazoa; Chordata; Mammalia; Carnivora; Felidae
Exons: 3
Source: RefSeq, a predicted model, not a curated record
CCAUCAGUCAACGGCCUUGGAUGCUUCCACAGCUGAUUUUUAAUUGAGAGCUUCAGAUGGAUUAUAGAGAGGGCUUAGAGGAACCACAGUCCGUGAGGCCCCUGGAGACUCUCUCAUCUCCUCCUCUAACCGUUCUUUUCGCUGCCAAACAAAAGAGAAGGGGCCAGGUGGCACAUGGAGUCAGAAGGCAAAGUGGGAGUUGUUAAAGACAGAUUACUGCACCAAGGGUAGAGUUUGAUUGAGAGGUCAGGAGAGGACUCAGCCAUCAAAGGCAUCCAACUUGAAGACUAGAGAUACCCCAGGGGCAAGGUAAGCACAUAAAUUUGAGCUCACACAUGGAUACUUGCCAA